This 476-nucleotide long non-coding RNA is filed under the name Bos taurus (domestic cattle). RNAcentral's name for it is "long non-coding RNA NONBTAT022679". Lineage: Eukaryota; Metazoa; Chordata; Mammalia; Artiodactyla; Bovidae. The record is from RNAcentral.
UUUCUGGGUCAGUAGGUUGGAUGUAAUAGAAGUAAUGAUAGAUGCCUAGGAUGAUGACUCUUGUAGUCACCAAUCAGGCCAGUCAGAAAUACAGUGUUUAAAAGAAACAGAUAUCCUAAAACCAAAGAGGUUAGAAGAAAAGUUGUGUUUUUUGUAAUAAAUUCAAACUGUGAUGCCAGUAAUGAAGAGCCCUCACAUUCUUCUGAUAUUCCUCCCCCUGCAAAAUUACAUGCAUCACAUUUGUGUAAUUGUGCCAUGAGGUCAAGGAAAGCCUAGGGACUCAAUGAAAUAUUAAUAUGAUUUUACAGUUUUUAGGGUGAGGAUUUUUUUCUUUUAAUGAAGUCUUGAUAUCAAUGCCCCACAGCUCUACCUAAACCCAGUGGCCAUCAUGUGAAAGAGGUGCUACCCGUGACAAUUCAAUUUGCUUUUUCAAGAAUUUGCAAAUGUAGGCAAAGUCAACUGGAAAUGAUGCAUUC